GAUGAACGCUGGCGGCGUGCCUAAUACAUGCAAGUAGAACGCUGAAGGAAGGAGCUUGCUCUUUCCGGAUGAGUUGCGAACGGGUGAGUAACGCGUAGGUAACCUGCCUGGUAGCGGGGGAUAACUAUUGGAAACGAUAGCUAAUACCGCAUAACAGUAGAUGUUGCAUGAUAUCUACUUAAAAGGUGCAAUUGCACCACUACCAGAUGGACCUGCGUUGUAUUAGCUAGUUGGUGAGGUAACGGCUCACCAAGGCGACGAUACAUAGCCGACCUGAGAGGGUGGUCGGCCACACUGGGACUGGGACACGGCCCAGACUCCUACGGGGGGCAGCAGGAGGGAAUCUUCGGCAAUGGACGGAAGUCUGACCGAGCAACGCCGGGUGAGUGAAGAAGGGUUUCGGAUCGUAAAGCUCUGUUGUAAGAGAAGAACGAGUGUGAGAGUGGAAAGUUCACACUGUGACGGUAUCUUAACAGAAAGGGACGGCUAACUACGUG
This 497-nucleotide ribosomal RNA is filed under the name uncultured bacterium. RNAcentral's name for it is "partial 16S ribosomal RNA". It matches the Rfam family "Bacterial small subunit ribosomal RNA", at positions 28 to 507 of the family's 1533-position model. The record is from RNAcentral.